This 587-nucleotide ribosomal RNA is filed under the name Candida albicans. RNAcentral's name for it is "eukaryotic LSU rRNA". It matches the Rfam family "Eukaryotic large subunit ribosomal RNA", at positions 66 to 668 of the family's 3401-position model. Lineage: Eukaryota; Fungi; Ascomycota; Pichiomycetes; Serinales; Debaryomycetaceae. The record is from RNAcentral.
CCACGGGUAUGCGUCAGCAGCGGCGAGUGAAGCGGCAAAAGCUCAAAUUUGAAAUCUGGCGUCUUUGGCGUCCGAGUUGUAAUUUGAAGAAGGUAUCUUUGGGCCCGGCUCUUGUCUAUGUUCCUUGGAACAGGACGUCACAGAGGGUGAGAAUCCCGUGCGAUGAGAUGACCCGGGUCUGUGUAAAGUUCCUUCGACGAGUCGAGUUGUUUGGGAAUGCAGCUCUAAGUGGGUGGUAAAUUCCAUCUAAAGCUAAAUAUUGGCGAGAGACCGAUAGCGAACAAGUACAGUGAUGGAAAGAUGAAAAGAACUUUGAAAAGAGAGUGAAAAAGUACGUGAAAUUGUUGAAAGGGAAGGGCUUGAGAUCAGACUUGGUAUUUUGCAUGCUGCUCUCUCGGGGGCGGCCGCUGCGGUUUACCGGGCCAGCAUCGGUUUGGAGCGGCAGGAUAAUGGCGGAGGAAUGUGGCACGGCUUCUGCUGUGUGUUAUAGCCUCUGACGAUACUGCCAGCCUAGACCGAGGACUGCGGUUUUUACCUAGGAUGUUGGCAUAAUGAUCUUAAGUCGCCCGUCUUGACCCCCCGGACCA